Molecule: ribosomal RNA, 253 nt
Filed under: uncultured bacterium
Lineage: Bacteria
Description: partial 16S ribosomal RNA
Rfam family: Archaeal small subunit ribosomal RNA
Source: RNAcentral
UACCAGCACCCCGAGUGGUCGGGACGUUUAUUGGGCCUAAAGCAUCCGUAGCCGGUUCUACAAGUCUUCCGUUAAAUCCACCUGCUCAACAGAUGGGCUGCGGAGGAUACUAUAGAGCUAGGAGGCGGGAGAGGCAAGCGGUACUUAGUGGGUAGGGGUAAAAUCCGUUGAUCCAUUGAAGACCACCAGUGGCGAAGGCGGCUUGCCAGAAUGCGCUCGACGGUGAGGGAUGAAAGCUGGGGGAGCAAACCGG